RNAcentral lists this ribosomal RNA (276 nucleotides) under uncultured Faecalibacterium sp. Its description in RNAcentral is "partial 16S ribosomal RNA". It matches the Rfam family "Bacterial small subunit ribosomal RNA", at positions 65 to 339 of the family's 1533-position model. Lineage: Bacteria; Bacillati; Bacillota; Clostridia; Eubacteriales; Oscillospiraceae. RNAcentral also lists the same sequence under 1 other name. The record is from RNAcentral.
AGCUGAGAGGAGCUUGCUUUUCUUAGCUUAGUGGCGAACGGGUGAGUAACGCGUGAGUAACCUGCCCUGGAGUGGGGGACAACAGUUGGAAACGACUGCUAAUACCGCAUAAGCCCACGGGUCGGCAUCGAUCUGAGGGAAAAGGAGUGAUCCGCUUUGAGAUGGCCUCGCGUCCGAUUAGCUAGUUGGUGAGGUAAUGGCCCACCAAGGCGACGAUCGGUAGCCGGCCUGAGAGGGUGAACGGCCACAUUGGGACUGAGACACGGCCCAAACUCC